This 253-nucleotide ribosomal RNA is filed under the name uncultured bacterium. RNAcentral describes it as "partial 16S ribosomal RNA". It matches the Rfam family "Bacterial small subunit ribosomal RNA", at positions 524 to 776 of the family's 1533-position model. The record is from RNAcentral.
UACAGAGGGUGCAAGCGUUGUUCGGAAUUAUUGGGCGUAAAGGGCGCGUAGGCGGUUCGGCAAGUCUCUAGUGAAAUCUCAGGGCUCAACUCUGAGUCUGCUGGGGAAACUGCCGGGCUUGAGUGUGGGAGAGGAGAGUGGAAUUCCCGGUGUAGCGGUGAAAUGCGUAGAUAUCAGGAGGAACACCUGUGGCGAAAGCGGCUCACUGGACCACAACUGACGCUGAGGCGCGAAAGCUAGGGGAGCAAACAGG